GAUGAACGCUGGCGGCGUGCUUAACACAUGCAAGUCGAACGAUGAAGCCCAGCUUGCUGGGUGGAUUAGUGGCGAACGGGUGAGUAACACGUGAGUAACCUGCCCUUGACUCUGGGAUAAGCCUGGGAAACUGGGUCUAAUACUGGAUAUGACUUCUCAUCGCAUGGUGGGGGGUGGAAAGAUUUAUUGGUCUUGGAUGGACUCGCGGCCUAUCAGCUUGUUGGUGAGGUAAUGGCUCACCAAGGCGACGACGGGUAGCCGGCCUGAGAGGGUGACCGGCCACACUGGGACUGAGACACGGCCCAGACUCCUACGGGAGGCAGCAGUGGGGAAAAUUGCACAAUGGGCGCAAGCCUGAUGCAGCGACGCCGCGUGAGGGAUGACGGCCUUCGGGUUGUAAACCUCUUUCAGUAGGGAAGAAGCGAGAGUGACGGUACCUGCAGAAGAAGCGCCGGCUAACUACGUG
Molecule: ribosomal RNA, 466 nt
Filed under: uncultured bacterium
Lineage: Bacteria
Description: partial 16S ribosomal RNA
Rfam family: Bacterial small subunit ribosomal RNA
Source: RNAcentral